GAUGAAGAACGCAGCGAAAUGCGAUACGUAAUGUGAAUUGCAGAAUUCAGUGAAUCAUCGAAUCUUUGAACGCAUAUUGCGCUCUCUGGUAUUCCGGAGAGCAUGCUUGUUUGAGUAUCAGUAAACACCUCAACUUCCAUAUCUUUUUUGAAAUGGGAGUUGGACUUGAGUGAUCCCAACGCUUUUCCUCACCGAAAAGUGGCGGGUUACUUGAAAUGCAGGUGCAGCUGGACUUUUCUCUGAGCUAUAAGCAUAUCUAUUUAGUCUGCCUAAAAAACAGAUUAUUACCUUUGCUGCAGCUAACAUAAAGGAGAUUAGUUCUUGUGCUGACUGAUGCAGGAUUCACAAAGACGGCUUCGGCCGACUUUGUAAACUCGAUCUCAAAUCAAGUAAGACUACCCGCUGAACUUAAGCAUAUCAAUAAUCGGAGGA
RNAcentral lists this unclassified non-coding RNA (432 nucleotides) under soil metagenome. Its description in RNAcentral is "partial contains 5.8S ribosomal RNA, internal transcribed spacer 2, and large subunit ribosomal RNA". The stretch from base 1 to 120 matches the Rfam family "5.8S ribosomal RNA", at positions 35 to 154 of the family's 154-position model. The record is from RNAcentral.